RNA transcript from Oncorhynchus keta (chum salmon), 3091 nucleotides. RefSeq lists it as uncharacterized. The transcript is spliced from 4 exons. NCBI's taxonomy places the organism in Eukaryota, Metazoa, Chordata, Actinopteri, Salmoniformes, Salmonidae. The record is from RefSeq and is a predicted model, not a curated record.
CCGCGUAAUAGCUAUGAGAACCACCAGGAACAAAAUCACCGUCAUGUAUAGCGACCUUCAAAUGAAUCCUUGUGGACCCCCAGAUGUUUCAAAAUGUUGUUGUGGCCCUGAAAUAACUCACCUGGUUCACAUAUUCAAGAGCUUGAUGGUUAAAUAAAAAUCUAAUUGUAUUCAUCACACACGCUGAAUACAACUGGUGUAGACUCACACUGAAAUGCUUGCUUACGAACCUUUCCCACAGAUGCAGUUUUAUUGAUUAUUAUAAAAGUUAUUGUAAAAAAUAAAAUAGGGAGGAACAUGAGAGGAAUUCAAUAAAAUACACAAGAAUGGAGCUAUAUACAGGAAAUACCCAUACCAGGUCAAUGUGGAGCUAUAUACAGGGAGUACCAGGUCAAUGUGGAGUUAUAUACAGGGAGUAUCAGCACCAGGUCAAUGUGGAGCUAUAUACAGGGAGUAUCAGCACCAGGUCAAUGUGGAGCUAUAUACAGGGAGUAUCAGCACCAGGUCAAUGUGGAGCUAUUUACAGGGAGUACCAGGUCAAUGUGGAGUUAUAUACAGGGAGUACCAGAUCAGUGUGGAGCGAUAUACAGGGAGUAACAGGUCAAUGUGGAGCUAUAUACAGGGAGUACCAGGUCAAUGUGGAGGAAAUAUACAGGAAGUACCAGGUCAAUGUGGAGUUAUAUACAGGGAGUACCAGGUCAAUGUGAGCUAUAUACAGGGAGUAUAAGGUCAAUGUGGAGCUAUAUACAGGGAGUACCAGGUCAAUGUGAGCUAUAUACAGGGAGUACCAGGUCAAUGUGAGCUAUAUACAGGGAGUACCAGGUCAAUGUGGAGGAAAUAUACAGGAAGUACCAGGUCAAUGUGGAGUUAUAUUACAGGGAGUACCAGGUCAAUAUGGAGCUAUAUACAGGGAGUAUAAGGUCAAUGUGGAGCUAUAUACAGGGAGUACCAGGUCAAUGUGGAGGAAAUAUACAGGAAGUACCAGGUCAAUGUGGAGGAAAUAUACAGGAAGUACCAGGUCAAUGUGGAGUUAUAUACAGGGAGUAUAAGGUCAAUGUGGAGCUAUAUACAGGGAGUACCAGGUCAAUGUGGAGUUAUAUACAGGGAGUACCAGGUCAAUGUGGAGUUAUAUACAGGGAGUACCAGGUCAAUGUGGAGUUAUAUACAGGGAGUACCAGGUCAAUGUGGAGCUAUAUACAGGGAGUACAAUGUCAAUGUGGAGCUAUAUACAGGGAUUACCAGUACCAUGUCAAUGUGGAGCUAUGUACAGGGAGUACCAGGUCAAUGUGGAGCUAUGUACAGGGAGUACCAGUACCAGGUCAAUGUGGAGCUAUAUACAGGGAUUACCAGUACCAGGUCAAUGUGGAGCUAUAUACAGGGAGUACCAGCACCAGGUCAAUGUGGAGCUAUAUACAGGGAGUACCAGCACCAGGUCAAUGUGGAGCUAUAUACAGGGAGUACCAGCACCAGGUCAAUGUGGUGCUAUAUACAGGGAGUACCAGCACCAGGUCAAUGUGGAGCUAUAUACAGGGAGUACCAGCACCAGGUCAAUGUGGAGCUAUAUACAGGGAGUACCAGGUCAAUGUGGAGCUAUAUACAGGAAGUACCCGCACCAGAUCAAUGUGGUGCUAUAUACAGGGAGUACCAGCACCAGGUCAAUGUGGAGCUAUAUACAGGGAUUACCAGUACCAGGUCAAUGUGGAGCUAUAUACAGGGAGUACCAGCACCAGGUCAAUGUGGAGCUAUAUACAGGGAGUACCAGCACCAGGUCAAUGUGGAGCUAUAUACAGGGAGUACCAGCACCAGGUCAAUGUGGUGCUAUAUACAGGGAGUACCAGUACCAGGUCAAUGUGGAGCUAUAUACAGGGAGUACCAGCACCAGGUCAAUGUGGAGCUAUAUACAGGGAGUACCAGCACCAGGUCAAUGUGGAGCUAUAUACAGGGAGUACCAGCACCAGGUCAAUGUGGUGCUAUAUACAGGGAGUACCAGCACCAGGUCAAUGUGGAGCUAUAUACAGGGAGUAGCAGCACCAGGUCAAUGUGGAGCUAUAUACAGGGAGUACCAGGUCAAUGUGGAGCUAUAUACAGGAAGUACCCGCACCAGAUCAAUGUGGUGCUAUAUACAGGGAGUACCAGCACCAGGUCAAUGUGGAGCUAUAUACAGGGAGUAGCAGCACCAGGUCAAUGUGGAGCUAUAUAUAGGGAUUACCAGGUCAAUGUGGAGCUAUAUACAGGGAUUACCAGGUCAAUGUGGUGCUAUAUACAGGGAUUACCAGGUCAAUGUGGAGCUAUAUACAGGGAUUACCAGGUCAAUGUGGAGCUAUCUACAGGGAGUACCAGCACCAGGUCAAUGUGGAGCUAUGUACAGGGAGUACCAGGUCAAUGUGGAGCUAUAUACAGGGAGUACCAGGUCAAUGUGGAGCUAUAUACAGGAAGUACCCGCACCAGAUCAAUGUGGAGCUAUAUAUAGGGAUUACCAGGUCAAUGUGGAGCUAUAUACAGGGAUUACCAGGUCAAUGUGGAGCUAUAUACAGGGAUUACCAGGUCAAUGUGGUGCUAUAUACAGGGAUUACCAGGUCAAUGUGGAGCUAUAUACAGGGAUUACCAGGUCAAUGUGGAGCUAUCUACAGGGAGUACCAGCACCAGGUCAAUGUGGAGCUAUAUACAGGGAGUACCAGCACCAGGUCAAUGUGGAGCUAUAUACAGUGAGUACUAGGUCAAUGUGGAGCUAUAUACAGGGAGUACCAGGUCAAUGUGGAGCUAUAUACAGGGAGUAUCAGCACCAGGUCAAUGUGGAGCUAUUUACAGGGAGUACCAGGUCAAUGUGAGCUAUAUACAGGGAGUACCAGGUCAAUGUGGAGCUAUAUACAGGGAGUACCAGGUCAAUGUGAGCUAUAUACAGGGAGUACCAGGUCAAUGUGGAGGAAAUAUACAGGAAGUACCAGGUCAAUGUGGAGUUAUAUUACAGGGAGUACCAGGUCAAUGUGGAGCUAUAUACAGGGAGUACCAGGUCAAUGUGGAGUUAUAUACAGGGAGCACCAGGUCAAUGUGGAGCUAUAUACAGGGAGUACCAGGUCAAUGUGGAGUUAUA